GUACUGGCUUUACUGAUUCCUCCUUCUUGACGAACCGUGAUGUCAUUAAUUUGGUGUUGCGGGAAAUCAGGACUGUUACUUUGAAAAAAUUAGAGUGUUUAAAGCAGGCUAACGCUUGAAUACAUUAGCAUGGAAUAAUGAAAUAGGACGUUAAUCCUAUUUUGUUGGUUUCUAGGAUCGACGUAAUGAUUAAUAGGGAUAGUUGGGGGCAUUAGUAUUCAAUUGUCAGAGGUGAAAUUCUUGGAUUUAUUGAAGACUAACUACUGCGAAAGCAUUUGCCAAGGAUGUUUUCAUUAAUCAAGAACGAAAGUUAGGGGAUCGAAGACGAUCAGAUACCGUCGUAGUCUUAACCAUAAACUAUGCCGACUAGGGAUCGGAUGAUGUUAUUUUUAAUGACUC
Molecule: ribosomal RNA, 399 nt
Filed under: uncultured Glomeromycotina
Lineage: Eukaryota; Fungi; Glomeromycota
Description: SSU rRNA
Rfam family: Eukaryotic small subunit ribosomal RNA
Source: RNAcentral